GUUUCUCAAUGCAGCCUUUCUCCUCUUUCAGCUUCACCAACAGACUGCUUCGUGAAGAGAUGUGUUUUAAAAUAAUUUAAUAUUGCAUACAGCCCCACUUAUUUCUGCCUCUCAAGAUCUCAUGCCGAACUGGGCACAGAGAGAUUCUCUUUCUUAGCCAGCCUUUGUACUUGUUUCUCAUGUUCCGAAGAGAAAUUAUUGGCUUUUCCCUCAGGGCUGCCACUCAGGAGCAAGGUGCUCUGUGAGCUUCGUCUGAGAGCUAAAGGAUGGAGUUGUUCUUCUGAUUCUUGGUCUUGUUAUUUAAUGAUAAUUACUACUGAGGAAAUGGAGAAAAUUCUUCAAUCUCAGCUUUUAAAGGAUAGCUUCUACUCCGCUGCAGACAGCUCAGGCUCCUGGAGCUGGGCUGACCUGAGAGCAGAACGUGAGCCUCUAAUGCUUCAUUACGAUCCAGCCUCCUGCAGAUCUCCAUGUGCCGCCUCAUUGAUUCCACUGAACGGAUCCUCAGAUGCAUUUUCGACUCAUGCUUCUGUGACCUGGUGAUACACCAGGACACCAUUCCCUAAGUGAGUCCGUUUGGAAUAAAUGUGCAGCUGUGGCUGCGUGUACUCUGAUCCCCGACCUUCCUUCUACAUUGAUUUCCUUCUUCGUCUGUUCAAAUCUCACCUUCUCAGUGAAGCCUACGCUGAGUGCUCCGUUUACAGUCACACCCUCCCCAACACGUUCCCAGUCCUCCUCACCCUUCUGUAUUCCCCCCCAAAAAUGUAUCUCAUUGUAACAUUCUGUAUAAUUAAUUUUUUGUUCUGUUGUUGUUUUCUGUUCUCACUAGAUUGCUCCUCCAGGAAAGGGGCUUCCUACUGUCUAGAACAUAGUGUGUGUUCAAAACUGUUUGUUUGAGGAGGCGAAUUCCAGGAAUAUGGCAGAGUAGGAAGCACCAGGAAUCCAUCUGCCCACCCAGACAACAAUGGCAGUGCAGAAUCUGUCUGAUGUAACUGUUUUGGAACUCUGGAAUCAACUGAAGGCUCGCAACUUCCACAGCGUGGCCUGGACAAUGAGUUGUAGUUCAUUCCAGUCAAUCUUAGCUCUUAGUUUAGCAGCAGCUGCCCAUAGUACACCUCCAGCCCUGUGGUGGGCAACUGUGCAUGUGUUCCUGAAGCAGUUUCCACACAGUUAAAUGGAGUCAUAGUGAGCAGUAAGGACUCUGUCCUCCAAAUAUUGAGGAUCUGUGCUCUGACUGUUGAUGGCUGCUUUUGCUUAGGGAGGUUCACACAUAGAGUUGUGCAGCCAUUCUGGAGCCCACUCGUUGUAAGCCCCUCCUCUUUCAACUGAAGUGACUUCCAGGGGAUUUAAAGGGCUAGUGCCCUGACCUCCUUAUUCAUUUUUUUCUUUUUCCUCUUUUGGAAGAUAGACAUUAAAGACUAGAACAUCCAAAAGCAACUGCAUUUAAAGGGGAACAUAGAAAGUCACUGUGCAUGCCAGGGAAAGGAGCAGGCCAGAAAAGACCUGAGAAGACCUUCAGUUUACACCUCAGGCUGUUGCUCAGCAUGGAGACAGCCUACAUCAAUCAAGAAAACAAAGAUAAAAAAACAAAAACAGAAAACUGCGCGGAAGGGGAAAAACUGAUUUUCAGAGUUGUCACAUUGUUAGAUUCAGAUGUCCAAUUUUCAACAAAAAAUCAGAAGGCAUACAAAAAAACCCAGGAAGGUAGGGCUCAUUAAAAAGAAAAAAGUAAACCAAUAGAAACUGACCCUGAGAAAGAACAGAUGGCAGAUCUAGUAGACAAAGAUUUCAAACUGUCUUAAAGAUGAUCAAAGAACUAAAGGAAGAUGAGAGAAAGUCGAGAAAAUAAUAUGUGAGCAAAAUGGAAAUAUUAAAAAGAGAUAGAAAAACCUAAAAAGAAACCAAAAAUAAAUUAGCUGAAAAUUGCAAUAAUUGAAAUGAAAAGUUUACUAGAGGGAUUCAGAGGCGGAUUUGAGCAGAUAAAAGAAAGAAUCUGCAGAUCUGAAGAUAGGAUUGAAAUUGUUGAGUCUGAGCAACCUCAAGAAAUAUGAUUGAAGAAAAGCAAACGGAGUCCAAGGAACUCAUGGGGCCCAUCAAGUGGACACUUCAUGCAUUGUGGGGAUCCCAGGAAGGGAAGAGAAAAAGAAAAGGGCAGAGAAGUUAUUUGAAGAAAUAAUGGCCAAAACCUCCCCAAAUUUGAUGAACAACAUGAGCAUAAACAUCUAAAAGCUCAACGAAAUCUAAGUACAAUGAACUCAAAGAGAUUCUCACUGAGACAUAUAAUCGAACUGCUGAAAGACAAAGCAGAGAGAAUCUAGAAAGCAACAAGAGAGAAGUGAUUAAUCACAUAUGAGGGAUCCUCAAUGAGAAUGUUAGCAAAUUUCUCAUCAGAAAGUUUAGAGGCCAGAAGGCAGUGGACUGAUAUAUUCAAAGUGCUAAAAGAAAAAAAAUAAAACUGUUAACUCAAGAAUCCUAUAUGUGGCAAAACUUGAUAUAGUUUUGAAAAGUGAGGAGAAAUUAAGAUAUUUUGAGAUAAACAAAAGCUGAGUGAGUUCAUUACCAUUAGACCUGCUCUUUAAGAAAUCCUAAAGGGAGUUCUUUAGGUUGAAGUAAAAGGACACUAGACAGUAAAUCAAAGCCAUAUGAAUAAAUAAUGAUUCCAGUACUCCACUUUUUUUCUACAUGAUUUGAGACAUACGUUUUUUAAAAAAAAACAAUUAUUAGUGUAAAAGCUAGUAUUAUUCUAACUCCACAUUUUUAUUUCUACAUAGUUUAAGAGACUAAUGAAAUAAAAACAAUUUUAAGUUUAUGUUUUUGGACACACAAUGUACAAAGGUGUAAUUUUUGACAUAAAUAAAUGAAAGGGGGGACAAAGCUGUAUAUG
Equus caballus (horse) is the source of this 2881-nucleotide long non-coding RNA. Lineage: Eukaryota; Metazoa; Chordata; Mammalia; Perissodactyla; Equidae. The record is from Ensembl.